GGCAUCCAACGACGAUUAAAGAUUUCAUCGGUCAGAGAUGGGGAUGCGUCUGAUUAGCUAGUUGGCGGGGUAACGGCCCACCAAGGCGACGAUCAGUAGGGGUUCUGAGAGGAAGGUCCCCCACAUUGGAACUGAGACACGGUCCAAACUCCUACGGGAGGCAGCAGUGAGGAAUAUUGGUCAAUGGGCGAGAGCCUGAACCAGCCAAGUAGCGUGCAGGAAGACGGCCCUAUGGGUUGUAAACUGCUUUUAUGCGGGGAUAAAGUGAGGGACGUGUCCUUCAUUGCAGGUACCGCAUGAAUAAGGACCGGCUAAUUCCGUGCCAGCAGCCGCGGUAAUACGGAAGGUCCGGGCGUUAUCCGGAUUUAUUGGGUUUAAAGGGAGCGUAGGCCGUGGAUUAAGCGUGUUGUGAAAUGCAGGUGCUCAACGUCUGCACUGCAGCGCGAACUGGUCCACUUGAGUGUGCACAACGCAGGCGGAAUUCGUCGUGUAGCGGUGAAAUGCUUAGAUAUGACGAAGAACUCCGAUUGCGAAGGCAGCUUGCGGGAGCACAA
Molecule: ribosomal RNA, 554 nt
Filed under: uncultured Bacteroidales bacterium
Lineage: Bacteria; Pseudomonadati; Bacteroidota; Bacteroidia; Bacteroidales
Description: bacterial SSU rRNA
Rfam family: Bacterial small subunit ribosomal RNA
Source: RNAcentral